RNAcentral lists this ribosomal RNA (230 nucleotides) under uncultured bacterium. RNAcentral describes it as "partial 16S ribosomal RNA". It matches the Rfam family "Bacterial small subunit ribosomal RNA", at positions 105 to 334 of the family's 1533-position model. The record is from RNAcentral.
CGGUGCGUAACACGUGAGCAACCUACCGAAGUGUGGGGGAUAGCCGGCCUAACGGCCGAGUAAUACCGCAUACGAUUCCGAAGAGGCAUUUCUUUGGAAUAAAACCUACGGGACACUUCGAGGGGCUCGCGGCCUAUCAGCUAGUUGGUGAGGUAACGGCUCACCAAGGCGACGACGGGUAGCUGGUCUGAGAGGAUGGCCAGCCACAUUGGGACUGAGAUACGGCCCAG